Molecule: microRNA, 18 nt
Filed under: Zea mays
Lineage: Eukaryota; Viridiplantae; Streptophyta; Magnoliopsida; Poales; Poaceae
Description: microRNA miR-3024b
Source: RNAcentral
AACGGUGGAAGGAUAACA